RNAcentral lists this long non-coding RNA (1807 nucleotides) under Struthio camelus australis. Its description in RNAcentral is "lncRNA (ENSSCUG00000004938.1)". The record is from RNAcentral. Lineage: Eukaryota; Metazoa; Chordata; Aves; Struthioniformes; Struthionidae.
UGUGAUGUUUCAUUUUUUUCAGCUUUCCUUCUCAUAUUUAUUUCUUCUUGCUCCUGCACAAGAUUUGCAGCAUGUCUCCAGGCUUCCCGGGGGAAUUAUGGAAACAGCUGUAUGAUUUAUCUCUCUUCCAAGAGACUACAGUAAUCUGAGUGCACCAUCUGGCAACAAACAAGGCUGUUUUUGACACCUCCGCUACUGCUAGGAACCAGCCACAACUUUACUUUUUAUUUUCUUCAUGUCUCUCAUUUUUCUCCCUAUCAGAUUUGUUGGUCUUUUAUGUUACAAAGCUCUCACAGUUAGAUAUUAAGUCACUGUCUUGGGGUGGGGUUUUUUUGGAAGCUCAGCUGCUAAUAUCAGGCUAUUACCAGGAAAAAAAAAGGCAGCUCAGUUUUCUUUACAUAACCAAAACAGGAACAAAGUGUCUCCAGCUCUCUUAUGUGUGAGGAAGAGCUCGAAAAAGUUGUUGCCAAAAGUUUAGACAUCAGAAGGGUCACCCCAAAGUUAUUAACAUUAUUUUAAUCCGGAUGCUUUCGGAGGCUGGAAGUACGGUUCCUGAGCAUUUUGGUGUCGCGAAGAAUGGUGCUGCCCUUGAAAACCAGUGAUGAUUCAAACUCCCAGCAGCAAGUAAAUACAGCCAGCAGCGGGCAAACCUGCCUCAUGGAGGCAACUUUUCUCAGAGUAAGACGAGCCGGAGAGUGUGGACGGCGGAAGGAGGUGGGAGCAAAGCUCCAGCCUGGGAGCUGGGCACGGCGCUUCUCCUCCCCGCUGCGCGGCAAGCGGUGCUCUGCAGUACAAUGGACUGACUAAUUGGAAAUGGGAUUGCUAAGAUGCAUCUUGAUUAUUCACCAGCUUUUAAACUCCAUCCAGGAUCACAGAACAGAGAUAAGUCCUGCUUGCUGUUGCUGUUUUUCUGUCAGAAAGAACAUGUGUCCACAUCAUUUUCAAGCUCUGCCCUUCGCAUAUGCAGGUCGUUACAGAUGAAAUGUAUUCUCGAUGUUGUUUUGCUCACUACUCCCAUGCAGAGAUGGACAUUGCCUCGUACAUUGUAAUCCCCAAGUUACUACUCUCAGAAUAAGUGUUGCAAUAUGAGUAUGUUGUCUGAGCUGUAUUUCCAGCCUCUCUUUUUGGCUUUUGAAAUCAUAUGCAAUAUUGCUGCAAUGUAGAUUUUUAGUUUGCUUGCUUUACACUCUCUUGUUUGAAGUUAAGCCCCCUUCUGGAUGUGAAGCGGAUGUCAGCUUAGGUCCUUGCCUGCCUUCAAAUUAUGGUCUCAGAAGAAGAAGGAUGGACUCCUUUUUCCACUACUGUUUGGAAUAUUCUUGGGACUGUCAAAGGGAGCUGAGACCUGAGGGUAAGCUGUCUCUUGACUCUUCUCCCUGGUCAUAGUGUCUCUUUUAAUCAGGCCAAGUUCACAGCUUGAGCUGGAGGUUCUGCGUAGGUCUUCAGUUAUGACUACUGGUCUGUGGGACGCUUCCAUCUACUUACUGCGUUGCUGUUUUCUUUGGAAGAUAAGAGUUUAAGGCUGAAGUACAGGAAAGCUGGCUCCCUGGCUUUAUCCUCACAACAUCCUUUGGUGGCUUAGACCCACAGCCUAGACAGUACAGUAGGUGCCACCGGAGGCUGUGCAGGGCAAUGAAGGAAGGAAGAAGAUUUGUGGGGGAGGAGCAUCCCAUCACUGCCAAGCCAGCCAGGAACUGCCACCAUCAUAGCCUGACAUAGCCUGUGGGGAAAGGGUACUCCAGAACUGGGAUCCAGCCCUGGUGGCAGCUGGACCACCCUGAGCUACCACAUCAAGUUUUAGUCUGCGACC